CGCAGACUCUAGGGGAGGGAGCGAUGUUCUCUCCUACCGUUCCAGCGCCUCCAAAGGUGAACCCUCGGGCAGCCAUUAUGCAUAUGGUGAAAGGUUACAAGGGAAAGAGCCCUUUUCUGAGAACCCCCCCCCAAACUUUCCAGUAAAGCAGCGAGCACAAGGAUCGGAUGGCUAAAGAGCAGAGAAGAAAAGGACUUAGCAUUGGGGAAUUUGGACACAGUGACAGAUUUGCAUAGAGGGAAGACAAUGUAAAGAGACAUAAGGACAAGAUAGUGAUCUACAAACCGAAGAGAGAGACCUGCAACAGACCCUUCCCUCACAGCCCCAGGAAGGAACGAAUCUGAUUGACACCUUGAUCUUCUAGCCUUCAGAAGUGUGAGACAAUAAAUUUCUGUAGUUGACGCCA
Equus caballus (horse) is the source of this 406-nucleotide non-coding RNA. NCBI's taxonomy places the organism in Eukaryota, Metazoa, Chordata, Mammalia, Perissodactyla, Equidae. The record is from RefSeq and is a predicted model, not a curated record.